UAAAACGUAGGGGACAAGCGUUAUCCGGAUUUACUGGGCGUAAAGCGCCCGUAGGCGGCUUUUUAAGUUGGACGUGAAAGCUCCCGGCUUAACUGGGAGAGGCCGUUCAAAACUGAGAGGCUAGAGUGAGGCAGAGGAGCGAGGAAUUCCUGGUGUAGUGGUGGAAUGCGUAGAUAUCGG
RNAcentral lists this ribosomal RNA (180 nucleotides) under uncultured bacterium. RNAcentral describes it as "partial 16S ribosomal RNA". It matches the Rfam family "Bacterial small subunit ribosomal RNA", at positions 521 to 700 of the family's 1533-position model. The record is from RNAcentral.